AAAUAACAAUUACAUGACAAUCCUGUCUUCCAAAUGAAUUUAAAAACAUUUUGUUUUUAUAAACAAUCAUAACUAAUUAGAAAGAAAGAAAAAACACACAUACACACUGAAAAUUACAUGUGUUUAUGUUGCAACAACUUUAUUGUUGAUAAACAACUGCCAACCUGUACCAGAAACAAACAAUGGUUUGGAACAAACUAUACACCACGAACGACAACUCGACCUAGAAUGUUACUCACAUUUGUUGAUAAUGUAAACAAACAUCGAUUUACAAAAAAGCGGUAAUAUGUAGCAAUUAAUAACAAUCAGAAUGCUGUAGUAAAGAUUAUCAGGAAAUUAAUCUGGCUUGCCGCCCGGAGAUGCCGAUAAGUGAUAUUUUACAAAAUCAUGUUUUCAGGGGACGUGAUGAAUUGUCCUUGCCAAAAUUACAAAUAAUUCAGGUAUCUAACAUUUCUAACAUAUAUUGAUACCACGAUAAUACAUUGAUAAUACUGCCUUGUUAAAUAUACCUUAUUGUCAAAGAAUGCAGCAAUAAUUCUGUUGUCAACGGCCAAAGAAAAAAUCGGGAUGAUCAAGCAUGGAAUUCCGGAAAUUGACCGUCUCCAAAAAUAUUAAAUUCUAAAAUUGAGUUAUCGUCCUUUUCGCGCCAGACGACUAUUGAAAGGGCUACACUUUGGCAUCAUUUU
This 686-nucleotide long non-coding RNA is filed under the name Mytilus galloprovincialis (Mediterranean mussel). Lineage: Eukaryota; Metazoa; Mollusca; Bivalvia; Mytilida; Mytilidae. The record is from RNAcentral.